GGGUGUAGUUCAAUGGUAGAGCAUCGGUCUCCAAAACCGCUAAUGCGGGUUCGAUUCCUGUCACCC
RNAcentral lists this transfer RNA (66 nucleotides) under bovine gut metagenome. It matches the Rfam family "tRNA". Rfam says of the family: Transfer RNA (tRNA) molecules are approximately 80 nucleotides in length. Their secondary structure includes four short double-helical elements and three loops (D, anti-codon, and T loops). The record is from RNAcentral.